Molecule: ribosomal RNA, 271 nt
Filed under: uncultured Lyngbya sp.
Lineage: Bacteria; Bacillati; Cyanobacteriota; Cyanophyceae; Oscillatoriales; Microcoleaceae
Description: partial 16S ribosomal RNA
Source: RNAcentral
ANAACGCCCACCAAGGCGACGAGUCGGUAGCGUGGUCUGAGACGGACGAUCACGCCACACGUGGGACUAGACGACGACCGGCCCAGACCUUCCGUAACGGGGAGGCGACGCAGGGUAGGGGUUAACGUUUUCCCGACUAAGGUCGGGAACGAAACGUCCGUCGGACGGAGACAACGACCGCGGUGGGGAAGAAGGCUCUUGGGUUGUAACCCUUUCUCUGGGAAGAAAGUUGCGAAAGCCUGACGGAGCAAGACCGCGGUCGACGCGGCCG